GCCAGACUCCUACGGGAGGCAGCAGUGGGGAAUAUUGCACAAUGGGGGGAACCCUGAUGCAGCGACGCCGCGUGAGUGAAGAAGUAUCUCGGUACGUAAAGCUCUAUCAGCAGGGAAGAAAAUGACGGUACCUGACUAAGAAGCCCCGGCUAACUACGUGCCAGCAGCCGCGGCAAUACGUAGGGGGCAAGCGUUAUCCGGAUUUACUGGGUGUAAAGGGAGCGUAGACGGCACUGCAAGUCCGGAGUGAAAGCCCGAGGCUUAACCAUGGGACUGCUCUGGAAACUGUGGAGCUUGAGUGCGGGAGGGGCAGGCGGAAUUCCUAGUGUAGCGGUGAAAUGCGUAGAUAUUAGGAGGAACACCAGUGGCGAAGGCGGCUUACUGGACUGUAACUGACGUUGAGGCUCGAAAGCGUGGGGAGCAAACAGGAUUAGAUACCCCCGUA
Molecule: ribosomal RNA, 445 nt
Filed under: uncultured bacterium
Lineage: Bacteria
Description: bacterial SSU rRNA
Rfam family: Bacterial small subunit ribosomal RNA
Source: RNAcentral